AUGGCUGGAAUUUGGAUGGACAAGGCGACAGAGGACCGAAUGAAUCUAUGGCUGACCCGGGUCUUGGUCAUUGUGAGCUUCACGGCGCAUCUUACCCUGGCCCUACUAGCCGGGAUCCGCCGGCGUAGGCACUCCGGCGUGCGGAGGUCUCUGGUGUGGUUGGCGUACUACGUGACCGAGAUAGGCACACCAAUCGCCCUUACCAAGGUGUUCAUCGACACCGCGUCUGUGGAUACCGAGCAACAGCUCAAGGCGUUGGUCGCAUACAGAGAGCAGCAGAUGUUUGCGUUCUGGGCGCCAUUUCUGCUGCUCCACCUUGGUCGCCCGGACAACAUCACCAGCUACGCCUUGGAGAACAAGGGGCUGUCGCCGACCCAGAAGGCCGUUCUCAUCCUUGCAAUCGUAGGAGCCAUCUGUGGCUCAUACAAGCAAAGAUUUAUGCGCGGGGAUGGGGCUCUGCGCGCCGCAUUCUUCAUCAUGCUCUUCUUGGGUUCCUAUAAGUAUGUGGAGAGGGCAGUUGCGCUACGGCGAGCUUCCUUCGACAGCAUUCGCCGCUCAAACCGGAGGAAGAUGUUGAAGCAGUUCAGUUCUAAGGGCAAAGCCCGAAAGCAGGAUAAUGAUAACGCCCUGCUUGAUGCUCACGGCCUUCUGGGCGUCACCAUGGGUGCCUUCGCUGACUAUCAAGUCGACUGCAGGAGGUAUGUCCCAUCUUAUUCUGGUUGCAAGGAUGUGAGCAAGGUGGUUGAGAUGGAGGUGUCACUCAUGUACGACGUGUUAUACACCAAGGCAAGCGUGAUCCACACAUGGGGUGGCUACAUCAUCCGUCUGGUCUCGCCGCCCGCCACCGCCACGGCGCUCUAUCUCUUCCACAGUAAAGACGGCCAGGCGAUGGAGAGUGCAGAUCGGGCGAUCACAUACACCUUGCUUGCUGGUACCUUGUUGUUGGAUGUGAGAUGGCUGCUCAGAGCACUAGGGUCCACCUGGACCUAUGCAUUCUUGCCUGAUAGUACAGAUCAGGAGGAUGGAAGCAAACAAGGGCUGCUUCUGGGUCGCCUCCGCUGGAACCUCCUGGCCAGUUUGCUGCGGCUGGGCCGCCUCAAGAAGGCAGGUCGUCGUCGGUAUGUGAGGCAUUCAUGGUAUUGGCUCCGUCGCCUCCUGGUCUCUCUGGAUCCGUCCCGGCUCCCACUGAGAAGCGGCCCAAGUGGCUACAGGUUGUUGCCGGGCUCGGCAGUCGGACAGCACAACUUGUUGCAAGAGUGCAGUGCUCAGGGUGGACUGGAGAAGAUGAUCUCUUAUUUUUGCGCUGGACACGGGAAGAAGAAGAUUGGAAGUUAUGUGUACAUAUCUAGUGCUGGAAUUGGAGACAAUGGCUUGGAUGCGUCCCACGGGGGAAGUUGA
RNAcentral lists this ribosomal RNA (1398 nucleotides) under Triticum aestivum (bread wheat). RNAcentral's name for it is "partial small subunit ribosomal RNA". The record is from RNAcentral. Lineage: Eukaryota; Viridiplantae; Streptophyta; Magnoliopsida; Poales; Poaceae.